AUUGAACGCUGGCGGAAUGCUUUACACAUGCAAGUCGAACGGCAGCACGGGGGCAACCCUGGUGGCGAGUGGCGAACGGGUGAGUAAUACAUCGGAACGUGCCCGGUCGUGGGGGAUAACGUAGCGAAAGUUACGCUAAUACCGCAUACGUUCUGAGGAUGAAAGCGGGGGACCUUCGGGCCUCGCGCGAUCGGAGCGGCCGAUGUCAGAUUAGGUAGUUGGUGGGGUAAAGGCCUACCAAGCCGACGAUCUGUAGCUGGUCUGAGAGGACGACCAGCCACACUGGGACUGAGACACGGCCCAGACUCCUACGGGAGGCAGCAGUGGGGAAUUUUGGACAAUGGGCGCAGGCCUGAUCCAGCCAUUCCGCGUGCAGGACGAAGGCCUUCGGGUUGUAAACUGCUUUUGUAUGGAACGAAAAGGCUCUGGCUAAUACCUGGGGCUCAUGACGGUACCGUAAGAAUAAGCACCGGCUAACUACGUG
This 484-nucleotide ribosomal RNA is filed under the name uncultured bacterium. RNAcentral's name for it is "partial 16S ribosomal RNA". It matches the Rfam family "Bacterial small subunit ribosomal RNA", at positions 30 to 507 of the family's 1533-position model. The record is from RNAcentral.